RNAcentral lists this ribosomal RNA (408 nucleotides) under uncultured bacterium. Its description in RNAcentral is "bacterial SSU rRNA". It matches the Rfam family "Bacterial small subunit ribosomal RNA", at positions 354 to 776 of the family's 1533-position model. The record is from RNAcentral.
GUGGGGAAUAUUGGGCAAUGGGCGGAAGCCUGACCCAGCAACGCCGCGUGAAGGAAGAAGGCUUUCGGGUUGUAAACUUCUUUUGUCAGGGACGAAGCAAGUGACGGUACCUGACGAAUAAGCCACGGCUAACUACGUGCCAGCAGCCGCGGUAAUACGUAGGUGGCAAGCGUUAUCCGGAUUUACUGGGUGUAAAGGGCGUGUAGGCGGGACUGCAAGUCAGAUGUGAAAACUCAGGGCUCAACCCUGAGCCUGCAUUUGAAACUGUAGUUCUUGAGUACUGGAGAGGCAGACGGAAUUCCUAGUGUAGCGGUGAAAUGCGUAGAUAUUAGGAGGAACACCAGUGGCGAAGGCGGUCUGCUGGACAGCAACUGACGCUGAGGCGCGAAAGCGUGGGGAGCAAACAGG